UAUGUAUUUAUUAUUAUAACAGAGGACAAAUGCAAAAUAUUGAACAUAUGAAAAAAAUACUAAAGUCCCUUUAUGGACUACCAGAAUCAAAUGAAAUGAUGAUUAGGUGUAAACAAUAAAAAAAAUAAAAAUACUCUUCCCU
This is a long non-coding RNA of Etheostoma spectabile (orangethroat darter), 142 nucleotides long. RefSeq lists it as uncharacterized. The transcript has 3 exons. The record is from RefSeq and is a predicted model, not a curated record. NCBI's taxonomy places the organism in Eukaryota, Metazoa, Chordata, Actinopteri, Perciformes, Percidae.